GCUGGCGGUGCUGGGUGCCUGGGCCGCAGGAGCGGCUACAAGAGGUCCAUUCACCUGCCUCCCAGCUAUGGACAUGGACAUGGGAAGACACAGCACCAAGAAUCCCGUCUCUUCUCUUCCUGCCUUGGGGACCCCUGACCCACGAAGAGUCCAGAAUCACGGGACACACAGCGGAAAACUGGGCGCCAGACACCUGGAGAAGGAAGGAGCAAAGGAGACUAGAGAGCCUUCUAGCCUGACACAUUAAGGCCAGAAUAGUUUUGCUAGGAUCCUAUGGAUUGGGUUUCCAGGAUGUAACAAGGUCUGUCUCAGUGAGUUCAAGAAACAGCAUCAGGGCGAAGCAUACUACUUGCUAUUUUUUUUCUUCUGCUGUGUUUUGUUUCCUCUUUCUGGUGGUUCCUCCUAUUGGU
Molecule: non-coding RNA, 410 nt
Organism: Phascolarctos cinereus (koala)
Lineage: Eukaryota; Metazoa; Chordata; Mammalia; Diprotodontia; Phascolarctidae
Source: RefSeq, a predicted model, not a curated record